UUCUUCUUAAGACCGGAUACUCAAUUAACAAGUCAUCUUCUGGAACACCCAAAUUCACAAUUCAUCUUAUCCCGACAGCGAUUUUUCUUCAACGCGAAAUGUCUGAUUCUUGGCGAAGUAUCGGCGUAUGUUAUUCCAUAAAGGUUAGACCUAGUUUUUUGAGAUUAGGGUUUUUUUCGUUUAUGUGGAUAAAUUGAUAUGUAACUUGGUUGUAUACUCAAAUUGUUGUAUGUUCCCUAUUACCCACACUUAAGCACAAGCAUAGGAUACUUUGUUUUCCUUUGGAGGGAUGAAAACUUAGAAUUUAUUGUGGUGCGAGUGCAAAUCAAUUACUGUAUUAACUUCCUGGUGAGGAUAUAAUAUCGACGGUUUGAUGCCAAACAACUAAGGUUAAUUUUUCUGGAGUUCUUAUGUAUUUAUAUGAAAUAUGAAUAAUUUUACUUCUUAGUUUAUUUUUAUUUUUCUAAUUUUGAACAUGAAAUUUUACACCAUGGUAAAGAGACUAUCUUUUAUCUUUUGUUACAUAGAAAACAUAUAAUUUUUAAUUUGUAUUAAAAAAAACCCAGUAAAGCACUUUUAUGCUAAUGAGACAAGGGCCUAUAUGAAUUAUCAUGUUGUGAUAUUGUGUUAAAUUCAAGAGAACUAAGUAGGGUGCAUUAUUCAUUAGUUAGUUGCCUUCCCACCUUUCUGUCUAACAAUGUUUAUGAGUUAUCCUAAGAGUUUUCUCUAAUUAAAAAAUUCAAUAAUAUACUGUCUUGAAAAUUUUCUGUAGAUAAAUUGAGCAGCAAACUAUGAAAACUUAGUUUCUAUUAUCCUGCUACUUCAUUAAGUAGCAUUAAAGUGAAGUCCAAGUCUGGAUACCUUGCCCAUUCUUUUGGAUAAAUGUAUAGGACAAAAGAACACUUUUAAUGUGACUGAAUAAAUGAAGAAGAAUAAAUAUUUCACAUCUCAUGUGAAUUAUUUAGGAAAAUGUCAAUUUUGUUAAUGGAAGAUGUAGAGAUAUCUUGGUUAUCAGAUUAAAUUUUUUAUUUUUUUGAUCUUCUUGUAAACCCUCAUAAUAGUUUUUUGGUUGUGCAAAUGAAAGGGAAUGAUGAAUUUGGGUUGUACCAAGUCUGAAACCAAGUGGAUUUACAUAUUCGCUUGCACCAAACUCUGUAUUUAUUUUUCAUGUUUUAUAAGUGAUAAAUCGUAUAGUUGUAUUAUUGGAAAAUGGUGGAGUAGCAUCUUGUUAUCCUCCAGCAAGUAUGAUACCAUUUGUUCUUAUAUUUUCUAUUAGAAUACUUAUAUACUCUUAACUUUCUUACGUAUUAUUGUUCUGAAAAGGCAAUUCUUAUCAAGUGUGGAAGAAACUCCACCAAAAAACAUACAAAUCUUACUGUGGCAGGCAAAAGGUCUAGAGGUGAGAUUUAUUUUCAUUUGGUGGAAUUCUACAUGAGCUGACUAUUGGAUUCAAAAGUGAGAUACUAUUGUGUUUAUACAUUAAUUCUCAUUUUUGGCUUAGUUUUCAAUGUCUAUAAUUAUAAGUAGGUAGCUUAUAUUUUUGCACAUUUGAUACUGUUCAUAUUGUCUCCUUACUGAGUAAUAAUAUUUGAUUUAUAUUUUCUCUUGUUUGUGUUCUCCCUGUUGAAUUAUCAAUAGCUUUCCAAUUGUAAAUUGCACUAUUUUUCAGGUUGAAAAAAGAUUUGGCUCCCUUAUCCAAACAAGAAUGCCAUGACUGAAUCCAUUGAAGAUAGUAUUGGUUUCUCCAAGAAUCUAUAGAGCCAAGUACUACAGGUGAAUGCCAUUUUUACUAUGCUUUUAUUUUAUUGUCCUUUUUGAGGUCCUGUUAUUCAACUUUAGUUGUGAG
This 1846-nucleotide long non-coding RNA is filed under the name Erythranthe guttata (spotted monkey flower). Its description in RNAcentral is "long non-coding RNA (EGUT_LNC003910)". Lineage: Eukaryota; Viridiplantae; Streptophyta; Magnoliopsida; Lamiales; Phrymaceae. The record is from RNAcentral.